CACGUAGGGACCAAGCGUUGUCCGGAUUUAUUGGGCGUAAAGAGCUCGUAGGCGGUUCGGUAAGUCGGGUGUGAAAACUCUGGGCUCAACCCGGAGAGGCCACCCGAUACUGCCGUGACUUGAGUCCGGUAGGGGAGCACGGAAUUCCUGGUGUAGCGGUGAAAUGCGCAGAUAUCAGGAGGAACACCGGUGGCGAAGGCGGUGCUCUGGGCCGGUACUGACGAUGAGGAGCGAAAGCGUGGGUAGCAAACAGG
RNAcentral lists this ribosomal RNA (254 nucleotides) under uncultured bacterium. Its description in RNAcentral is "partial 16S ribosomal RNA". It matches the Rfam family "Bacterial small subunit ribosomal RNA", at positions 524 to 776 of the family's 1533-position model. The record is from RNAcentral.